Molecule: long non-coding RNA, 781 nt
Filed under: Mus musculus (house mouse)
Lineage: Eukaryota; Metazoa; Chordata; Mammalia; Rodentia; Muridae
Description: predicted gene 45875
Source: RNAcentral
UGAACUCAGAGAUCUCCUUACCUUCAAAUUCAUAGCACUAUGCCUCAAGGUCUCCAUGCCAAGAUCCAGGUCAGAAACUUGUGUGUUCCAGCUUCAAGAUCUGGAUCGCAGAGAGCGGAGGUGGGUGGUGCCUGUUCCAUUCCGUGGAAAUGAACCAAAACCCUGAAGCGGUAGAUGGACCCUCUGAUACCACCCAGAACCAGGUCUAGAACUGUUGGAAGGAAUGUGUGCAGACUGGAGACUGGAUUUGGCUCUGCAUAGAAGCAAGGAUCUCCCCCUCAGGAGUGCCCUCCCAGAGGCAAGCAGGACAAUGAAGAAAAUCAGAGACACCAGGGUGCUUCAGCUGCAGCAAUAUUAAGCCAGCCACCUGCUCAGUGACGGAGGAGAAGGACAGCUGGUCGUGCUCCAUGAUGUGAACCAGGUCUUCGUCCUUGUCUUUCUUCACGUAGAACAUCUUCCUGAACUUCUUCAGCUCGUGGAGUUCACAGAAGGUCUCCAGGACAACCAGCAUGGCGAUGAGUCCGAGGAGCAGGUAACCUGUGAAGCAGAAGACAGGCAGCAUCUUAGUCUGACCUAGUUACCAUGAAAUCAAGACGGAACAACUUCUCCCCGUCCCACGCCACACACAAGGCUUCUCCGGCAGGUAGCUGAUUUCUAGGGAGGUUUGAAGUCCACACAGCUCACGGAGGAAUGCAGAGAGAAAGAACGAGAAAAGGCUUAGCCGCCGAUGACUUUGGAUUAGUCACAAUCACAGGCUUCAGACGUGGUGUGAGUGAGCUUC